AGGUAUGGAGACACACAAGAAGAGAGAAACUAAGAGACUUCACGGAAAAAUUGAAUGGACGAGUACAGCAGUCUUCUGAGUCAUUGCCUAUAACAGAUCACAUGGAAGCAUCAGAAUAAUCCUUAGGGCAGGGAAGUCCAAUCGAUUGACCCAGACUCAGUUUUGAGUAUGCAGCUGCUGGCAGGUAGAAAUUGAGCACCAUGACAAUUAAAACAAAAAUAUUACUUAGCUGUUGCUAAAAGAAGAAAAAAAGAAAGAAAAAAAUUCCAGCCACUCCCCUAGAACAUCUCACAAAAUGAGCCAUUCCAAAAAACUAAAGCUAAGGACAAUAUGGAUAAGUUUCUGUAAAAUCUAAAUUGAGAAGUUAGACAUAUCCAACAGGACUUGCAGGUUCCUCAUCCCAGUUUAGAAAGAUAUCAGCCAAAGGAGGGCAGUGGGACAAAAGAAAUGCGAAAGAGGGGCAACAGAGAGAGUGAGAGAUCUAAACUCUGAGGAGACUUAGAAGCCAUCUUAUAGAUGCUUGAAAACAGC
This 531-nucleotide long non-coding RNA is filed under the name Equus caballus (horse). RNAcentral's name for it is "lncRNA (ENSECAG00000048033.1)". Lineage: Eukaryota; Metazoa; Chordata; Mammalia; Perissodactyla; Equidae. The record is from RNAcentral.